UUGUACACACCGCCCGUCGCUACUACCGAUUGAAUGGCUCAGUGAGGCUUCCGGACUGGCCCAGGGAGGUCGGCAACGACCACCCAGGGCCGGAAAGUUAUCCAAACUCGGUCAUUUAGAGGAAGUAAAAGUCGUAACAAGGUCUCCGUUGGUGAACCAGCGGAGGGAUCAUUA
Molecule: ribosomal RNA, 174 nt
Filed under: Neopestalotiopsis protearum
Lineage: Eukaryota; Fungi; Ascomycota; Sordariomycetes; Amphisphaeriales; Sporocadaceae
Description: partial 18S ribosomal RNA
Rfam family: Eukaryotic small subunit ribosomal RNA
Source: RNAcentral